UCCGAAUUAACUCAGUUGGCAGAGUGCCCGGUUGUUAACCGGUGAGUCCCUGGUUCGAGCCCAGGAUUCGGAG
Molecule: transfer RNA, 73 nt
Filed under: Rhodococcus qingshengii
Lineage: Bacteria; Bacillati; Actinomycetota; Actinomycetes; Mycobacteriales; Nocardiaceae
Also listed under: 1 other name
Description: tRNA-Asn
Rfam family: tRNA
About the family: Transfer RNA (tRNA) molecules are approximately 80 nucleotides in length. Their secondary structure includes four short double-helical elements and three loops (D, anti-codon, and T loops). Further hydrogen bonds mediate the characteristic L-shaped molecular structure. tRNAs have two regions of fundamental functional importance: the anti-codon, which is responsible for specific mRNA codon recognition, and the 3' end, to which the tRNAs corresponding amino acid is attached (by aminoacyl-tRNA synthetases). tRNAs cope with the degeneracy of the genetic code in two manners: having more than one tRNA (with a specific anti-codon) for a particular amino acid; and 'wobble' base-pairing, i.e. permitting non-standard base-pairing at the 3rd anti-codon position.
Source: RNAcentral